This is a long non-coding RNA of Carassius gibelio (silver crucian carp), 1166 nucleotides long. RefSeq lists it as uncharacterized. The record is from RefSeq and is a predicted model, not a curated record. The transcript is spliced from 2 exons. NCBI's taxonomy places the organism in Eukaryota, Metazoa, Chordata, Actinopteri, Cypriniformes, Cyprinidae.
UCGCUAUCGGAGGGAAGUUAAGAGACCUGAUCUGGGACUUCGAUCAAUUGUAUACAUCUGGACUGGGAGUGAUAACGUUGUGAAGUGGACGGAGUCAUCGUUGGGUGAGUGCUGGCUCUAUUUGCACUAAGAGUGGGUGUGCCGUGUCUGAAGUGGUGUGUUUGCACAAUAAAUCGUUUGAAGUGAAGUUACAGAGUGUGGGGAAGAUAUAUAGAGUUAAUGCCGGACGCUCACCACCCCGAGAGCCCACCACCGUCACCGUAAUCCACACCCAGGCACUCAACUGAAGUAUCCCCCAACCGUAAGCCCAUUGCUCAUUCAAGAACACAUACAUGCUGUUGAUUACUUACCCCGCUGUGUAGAUCGCAGGAUCCUCUGGGCCGAACGCCGCAUGUGAUGUCCCUAUGAAAGGAGGUGGACACAAGAAUUAUUCCUUUCCCGGUCUUAACCGAAGCAUCUCCCAGCCGUAAGCCCCACUACUUAUUCAAGAACACAUACUUGCUGUUGAUUACUUACUCUGCUGUGCAGAUCGCAGGAUCCUCUGGGCCGAAUGCUGUAUGUGAUGUCCCUGUAGAAAGAGGUGGACACACGAAUUAUUCCUUUUCCGGUCUUAACCGAAGCAUCUCCCAGCCGUAAGCCCCACUACUUAUUCAAGAACACAUACUUGCUGUUGAUUACUUACUCUGCUGUGCAGAUCGCAGGAUCCUCUGGGCCGAACGCCGCAUGUGAUGUCCCUAUGAAAAGAGGUGGACACACGAAUUAUUCCUUUCCCGGUCUUAACCGAAGCAUCUCCCAGCCGUAAGCCCCAUUACUUAUUCAAGGACACAUACUUACUGUUGAUUACUUACCCCGCUGUGCAGAUCGCAGGAUUCUCUGGGCCGAAUGCUGCAUGUGAUGUCCCUGUAGAAGGAGGUGGACACGAGAAUUAUUCCUUUUCCCGGUCUCGACCGAAACAUCCACGAGCUCUACUUACCCGGAUACCCCCCCCUCACUCCGGGACGGGUGACAGACUAUCCUGGCUCUUGCUGGCCCCGUACAGGCACGAACUGUUGACGACUCCACGCCUUCCCGGCGUCCGAGGUCUGGCUCCGUUCUGGUCGGGAGACACGGAAGGAACACUGAACUUUUAAAUUGCUUUUAACCAAAUAAAACCUUGUUCAUUUUUU